AUCAACUUUCGAUGGUAGGAUAGAGGCCUACCAUGGUGGUAACGGGUAACGGGGUGUUAGGGCACGACACCGGAGAGGGAGCCUGAGAAACGGCUACCACAUCCAAGGAUGGCAGCAGGCGCGCAAAUUACCCAAUCCCGACACGGGGAGGUAGUGACAAUAAAUAACAAUACGGGGUUCUUUUGGAUUUCGUAAUUGGAAUGAGUACAAUUUAAAUCUCUUAACGAGGAACAAUUGGAGGGCAAGUCUGGUGCCAGCAGCCGCGGUAAUUCCAGCUCCAAUAGCGUAUAUUAAAGUUGUUGCAGUUAAAAAGCUCGUAGUUGAAUUUCGGGGUUAGUAGGCUGGUCAUGCCACAGGUAUGCACUGGUCUUACUGAUUCCUCCUUCCUGAUGAACCGUAAUGCCAUUAAUUUGGUGUUGCGGGGAGUCUGGACUGUUACUUUGAAAAAAUUAGAGUGUUUAAAGCAGGCUAACGCUUGAACACAUUAGCAUGGAAUAACGAAAUAGGACGUUCGAUCUUAUUUUGUUGGUUUCUAGGAUUGACGUAAUGAUUAAUAGGGAUAGUUGGGGGCAUUAGUAUUCAAUUGUCAGAGGUGAAAUUCUUGGAUUUAUUGAAGACUAACUACUGCGAAAGCAUUUGCCAAGGAUGUUUUCAUUAAUCAAGAACGAAAGUUAGGGGAUCGAAGACGAUCAGAUACCGUCGUAGUCUUAACCAUAAACUAUGCCGACUAGGGAUCGGAUGAUGUUAAUUUUAUAAUGACUCAUUCGGCGCCUUACGGGAAACCAAAGUGUUUGGGUU
This 798-nucleotide ribosomal RNA is filed under the name Glomus sp. MC3. RNAcentral describes it as "SSU rRNA". It matches the Rfam family "Eukaryotic small subunit ribosomal RNA", at positions 314 to 1113 of the family's 1831-position model. Lineage: Eukaryota; Fungi; Glomeromycota; Glomeromycetes; Glomerales; Glomeraceae. The record is from RNAcentral.